AAGAGCCGUAUGCCUUAAUUGGGCACGUACGGAUCUGUGAGGGGUAAGGGGCACAAUCUCAAAGGAGAGGCCCCACCUACUCGAC
RNAcentral lists this unclassified non-coding RNA (85 nucleotides) under Ornithinibacillus halophilus. The record is from RNAcentral. Lineage: Bacteria; Bacillati; Bacillota; Bacilli; Caryophanales; Bacillaceae.